GCUGGGCAUGGUGGCGGGUGCCUGUAAUCCCAGCUACGCAGGAGGCUGAGGCAGGAGAAUCACUUGAACCCAGGAGAUGGAGUUUGCAGUGAGUCAAGAUCAUGCCACUGCACUCCAGCCUGGGUGACAGAGUGAGAUUCCAUCUCAA
This 148-nucleotide non-coding RNA is filed under the name Homo sapiens (human). Lineage: Eukaryota; Metazoa; Chordata; Mammalia; Primates; Hominidae. The record is from Rfam by way of RNAcentral.